GGGGAGAGAGGACGUUUAGAGGGCCAUUGUCCCUUCUCUCGGGAAUGAUCUGGAAGUACUAUGCAAAUCUUCAUUUGAAGACCCUGGGAACCGGGGGAGGGCUUUAGCUGCGAGCUCAGUAGGAGGGGAGCUGUGUGUCCCUACUCAUGCACUCUUGCCUACUGCAAGGAGCUGGGAAGAGUUUUUUGAACUGGCAGAAGAGACAUUUUGCGCUUUGUGCACUUCUGUGAGGCUUUGCAGUCCUUCUGUCUCCUGCUUUGUGCUUUUUUUUUCCUGCCUACUUCUACAUUUUUGCAUAAGAAUUGGGAAGGGGGGAGAUCUAAGAGUUACUGUUUAUGAGAUCGGGAGGGUGCAGCACCCCUCCUGCCUGCCUUCCUCGCACAUUGAUCUGGAGCCUCCUACCAGACAGUGGUGCAGCUCCAGUCUGAGUUCCACAUCAGCAUAGCCUGACUGCUAGCACUGCAUUAGCAUAGAGCACGGACCUGGUUUCAGUAAGCAAACAGUUCAGCUGGGAAGGAAUAGUGGAGUGAAGUAGUUUGCAGUUCUCAAAUUAGCACAUUGUAGCCAGGUCUUAAAAAGCCCUCUCUUACUGGGGCAAAGACUCACAGCCCAGUACCUGCUUUAUGAAACCCUGCAGUCUGUCCUGGCAUGGCUCAGCACUGUGUGUCACCUGUUUUGUAUUAGGAGCGGGUCACGCUAACUGCCAGUUUCCUGAAGACUGUGUAGGGUCCUGCUGAGGCCUCUUGGAGAGGGAAAUACUCCGGCUGCACAGACACGUGGGGGAGCAGGGCAGAGGGGAAGGGACAGCAUGGAUUCAAACCUGGGCGUGUGGGGCUUUAUACCGUUUAUGCGUGUUAAAGGCCAUCACAGUCUUUUUAAUUUUCCCACCUUCUUGUUCAUGGCAGUAGUCCCACUGUUUAUUUUCAAACGUGGAGGGGGUUUUGUGUUCCAACAAACUCUUAAGAGAAUUACUUUCUCCAGGGCUGUAAUUGUUUGAAUGUAAUGCCAUUCUCUGUAUUCAUCCAAGAAGAUGCAGCCUUUUCAAAAAUCUCACCUUCAGUCAAUGAAACGGAGGACCCCAUACCACAAGGCCUGAUUCUGUUAGCUUCCAUGUAUCCAAAGCUACAGUGACUCAGCUGACUUCGAUGAAUGCCCUCUGGAACUGUGCUAGCUGGAAACCAGCCUCACUCCUACCACCAUGGAACUUUUUUUAUGCUGUGACAUUGUAAUGGGAGGUGGAGACACCUCGAGGAGAAGGUCGAAACAGACACAGCAAUUGCAGGCAGUAAUGUCUGUCUAUGACUGGAGAAAAUCCUGCCUCAA
RNAcentral lists this long non-coding RNA (1323 nucleotides) under Gallus gallus (chicken). Its description in RNAcentral is "long non-coding RNA NONGGAT002924". Lineage: Eukaryota; Metazoa; Chordata; Aves; Galliformes; Phasianidae. The record is from RNAcentral.